RNAcentral lists this unclassified non-coding RNA (268 nucleotides) under fungal sp. RNAcentral's name for it is "partial internal transcribed spacer region". The stretch from base 1 to 46 matches the Rfam family "Eukaryotic small subunit ribosomal RNA", at positions 1786 to 1831 of the family's 1831-position model. The record is from RNAcentral. Lineage: Eukaryota; Fungi.
AAGUCGUAACAAGGUUUCCGUAGGUGAACCUGCGGAAGGAUCAUUAUUAAAACAAUAAUCCAACCUUAAACCAAACCGAACUGUUCUUACGCUUAUUUGGCCGAUUAGAGGAUUCAUUUUCUCUUUUCUCCUUAUAAGUGCGUUUUUAAAACCAUUUUGAACUUAGUACUAAUUUAAUGUUCUCUACCCAACCUAAAAAAUUGGGAUUGAACGUUUUCUUUAAUGAAAACACAGAACAACUCUUAGCAACGGAUGUCUCGGCUCUCGU